Molecule: ribosomal RNA, 500 nt
Filed under: uncultured bacterium
Lineage: Bacteria
Description: partial 16S ribosomal RNA
Rfam family: Bacterial small subunit ribosomal RNA
Source: RNAcentral
AUUGAACGCUGGCGGAAUGCUUUACACAUGCAAGUCGAACGGCAGCACGGACUUCGGUCUGGAGGCGAGUGGCGAACGGGUGAGUAAUGUAUCGGAACGUGCCCAGUCGUGGGGGAUAACGUAGUGAAAAUUACGCUAAUACCGCAUACGAUCUAUGGAUGAAAGCGGGGGAUCGCAAGACCUCGCGCGAUUGGAGCGGCCGAUAUCAGAUUAGGUAGUUGGUGGGGUAAAGGCCCACCACGCCAACGAUCUGUAGCUGGUCUGAGAGGACGAACAUCCACACUGGAACUGAGACACGGUCCAGACUCCUACGGGAGGCAGCAGUGGAGAAUUUUGGACAAUGGGCGAAAGCCUGAUCCAGCCAUUCCGCGUGCAGGAUGAAGGCCCUCGGGUUGUAAACUGCUUUUGUACAGAACGAAAAGGUUUCUACUAAUACUAGGAGCUCAUGACGGCACUGUAAGAAUAAGCACCGGCUAACUACGUGCCAGCAGCCGCGGUAA